UUUUUUCUGAAAAAGCUUCAAAACCUGACUAGAUUCGUUCUCUUUACUGAAAAGGGAAUAGAUUCAUCUUCAAAAUUGUCAAGGAUGGUGAAUAUGUGGAGGUUCUUUAGGGAAUCUGGACCAAGACCUCCUCAGGGGUGAAGGAAGCUCUAAGAGUAGCAAAGCACCAAAGAAGCAGCAGGCUAGGAGAACAACUGCUCCAAAAAGACCUAGGAAUGUCCUGAAACAAAUUAUCACAUCAAGGAGGGCAUGGAAGAAGAGGAAAGAAGCCAAGGAAACCAAGUCAACUAGGACUACCCAAACUUCAUCUUCACAAAGAGAGCAUCGA
Molecule: long non-coding RNA, 328 nt
Organism: Rosa rugosa (rugosa rose)
Lineage: Eukaryota; Viridiplantae; Streptophyta; Magnoliopsida; Rosales; Rosaceae
Exons: 3
Source: RefSeq, a predicted model, not a curated record